RNAcentral lists this RNase P RNA (365 nucleotides) under uncultured Tetragenococcus sp. Its description in RNAcentral is "Bacterial RNase P class B". It matches the Rfam family "Bacterial RNase P class B". From Rfam's summary of the family: Ribonuclease P (RNase P) is a ubiquitous endoribonuclease, found in archaea, bacteria and eukarya as well as chloroplasts and mitochondria. Its best characterised activity is the generation of mature 5'-ends of tRNAs by cleaving the 5'-leader elements of precursor-tRNAs. Cellular RNase Ps are ribonucleoproteins. Lineage: Bacteria; Bacillati; Bacillota; Bacilli; Lactobacillales; Enterococcaceae. The record is from RNAcentral.
UUUAGAUGAUCGCGGUUUGUUUUUUUACAAGCUGAGGAAAGUCCAUACUCGCACAGGCUGAGAUGUCUGUAGUGUUCGUGCCUAGUGAAACCAUAAGCUAGGGUAUUUGUUAAAAAUAACGGCAGGAAAAAUAGCUAAUGUGAAAACAAUGCUUGAGUAUCCUUGAAAGUGCCACAGUGACGAAGCAACAUGGGAAACCUUGUUGGUGGAACGCGGUAAACCCCUCGAGCGAGCAACCCAAAUAUGGUAGGGGCGCUUUUUGAACUGGAAUGAAACGGGACAAAAAGACAAUUUCGAUUGUAGAUAGAUGAUUAUCCAAAUUAUUUUGCUCCCUGUAAAAUAAUUGGACAGAACAUGGCUUAUAG